Non-coding RNA from Ciona intestinalis (vase tunicate), 2814 nucleotides. The record is from RefSeq and is a predicted model, not a curated record. Lineage: Eukaryota; Metazoa; Chordata; Ascidiacea; Phlebobranchia; Cionidae.
GAACCUGGGGAAGUAGUUGUGUCAUAUAUGAUGUAACAUAUGUGUGCAUUUAGCCAGCACCAAGCUGCAAGAGAAUGGUGGAGUGCUACCUUAGUAACUGGAAUAUACCAGGUUCUGCUACCAUUGUGCAUUUGUGUCGCGAUAAUGACAAAUAGGUUGUCAAUAACCUCCAUAUUUAAAUAAGUAACCACAUCUACAUAAUGUUGUGUUGUAUAAACCAUGUUAAACAAAACCUUAUCCAUACUUUUAUUUUCAAUGGAAAUUAUUGUUUUAAAAUAUAAUAAAAUAUAAAAUGCACUUAUGUACUUUAUAAUUUUAUGAGAUAACUUUCUUCUCUACAAUGUAUUUUAUGCAUCCUCCCCUACUAUUUUUGUCAAUACUAUAAAGCUAAAUAUUAAUAAGUUUCCUCUUCAUUUGUUGCAAAAAAAUCUCACAGUAUUUUUUAAACAAAUGACUUUCUUUUAUUUCAUACAUACAACACACCAAGUAAUAACAUAUAAAAAAUAAUUAAAUUUAUGACAAAUUAUUUACAAUUUCAUCCAUGAAGACACAAUGCAACCAGUUACAACAUAUACUUGGUAUUGAUACUUGAUAGUAUUUAAGGUUGGUUGGAAUAAUAAAAAUAUUGACACAUGAAUGUGAUGCCGGAUAAAUAAAUGAAGGUGAAACAUGGUCUCAAUUUUUCAAGUUUGUCAUAAAAAGUAGAAAGCUUAAUGUCAGCUAUACAUUUGGUGUACAACGCACAGAUAAGGUGUUGUACACUAAGUUCAACAGACUCAUUGUUAUCUUUACACAUACGGACAUAUUUAAAUAAACACAUCAAUGCCUCAAAACUUCGCCCUUUUUUUCCAUAGCAUUCACCAAGCCUUAAAUAAGCAUGUUUGCAGAUGUUCCUGGCACUUGGUUGGCUGCCUUUUACCAUAGACAUUACUUUAUGCCAACACUUAAUUGCAAUGUCAAACUUUCCAGUAAAUGGCGCAGAAUCGGCAUACUUUUGUAACAUUCUUGAUUUCAUUACUUCAUCACAAAAUUGACCAUCGUAGGUUUGUUUCAGUUGAUCAAAAACUUGAAGCGAGAUUUCAAAAACAUGACAUGCUUCGUGGUGUUUACUGAGCUCAUGCAGACAAAUUCCAAAUGCUUGAAUGAAAGUGAAUUUUUCACGUAGACUACAUGUUGAUUCUUUUACUGCAUGCAACAAUUGAAACAACUCAACAAUCUGAACGUCUGAAACAGGCAAACCCAACUUGAUAAAACAUUUUAACUCCCAAAGCUUUACUUUAAACCUAACAAGGUCAAAAUUUGGACACAGAGGAUCCAAGUUUUGGCAGAUCUCCAAACAAAGCUCAUAUUCUUCCUUGGACACCUGUUGUUUAGAUAGCAACGAUCCAAUACCAGACAAACAAGCAUUGCUACUAUGUUUUGUCUGGUUAGGCAAAGACAAUUUUCUAAUUUCUGCAUGCAGCUCCGAUUGGAAGUUACACAUCAACAAGGCUAUGAUCUUUCCAUCCCAUCUUUCUUGCAAACAGCAAAGUUUCAGUGAUAGUGUUCCAUAAAAACAUCAUCUUGUUGUCCCUUUGAAUGAUAAACUUUAGCACGAACCUCACAAGCCACUGCCACCAUGAAGCGCAGAUGAUGAGCCACCUCUUCACUAAAUUCUCCUAUUUCUUCUAAUUUAUUGAAGACAUCAAAACAAGAAGAUUCUCUCAAUGAACAAAAUCGACCGAAUGCUGAAACAAAGAUGGUUGCACUUCUAUAUAUCACUCGCUUCAUGUUGUAAUUUUGAUGUCCUGAAAAUGACUUGACUUGUUGAAGAACAACAUUUAGGUUUGCCAAGUCAUUCCCAAUUUGAUUACGUAAUGCAGUAAAGUUGCUUCUUUCGUCAUUGAGUUUUGUUGUAGAAUGUGCCUUGUCUUGAUAAUCAACAAAAACAUUCCCAUCACCAGCUCAAAACAUGUCUUUGAUAAAACAUCAGCCAAGUAAUAUCCCUGCUUCAGAUCUUCAUCACUGUCCAAGUACUUUAUCAUUUUAUCUACUGGUUUAAUAAGUUCGGUUCUCCAUGGUUUGUUUUUAGUCAAUGGCCGUCCCAGUGGAAGUUUGCAAGCAUGAGCUACCAUCCCGUCAAACGUAACCCCAUUGGGUUGGGUGAAUAAAUAAAUAAAAAUACCUGGGGUUUAUACUUGGAAUUGCAACACAGUUGAUCAUGGUUUCUCCGAGGUUGAUUAAGAUGAUGCAGAAGAUUGUGGUGAACCAUCUGAAGUACUUUAUGAUCAUCAGCCGAUCUUCCCUUUGAGAAACUUCAUUUUCAAGAACAAUGAUGUGUUCGAAAUCUGAAUACGGGGUGAUUUCUGCUCGUACCAAAGAACCCAUUCCAACAAGAGCAUAUUUACAAGGUGGUUUACCCAUGAUCAAAAUACAUUCAUCACAUAUGAAUCUCAUUAACUCUGUGUACCUUCUCGUAAUUUUAUCCUGAAGAUUUUGAACAUCUGUAAUCUUUUUCUUUUCCAUUUCAAGUAAUAGAUCACCUUCUACAUUAUAUGGAAUUAUUUCAAGUUGAUUAAAACCUUCACCAAAAUCUUUCCGAAAUUCAGUAAGGAUGGUUUUUACAGUAGAAGCAAGAAAAAGUAAAUUAUAAUCAAAUCUUAUCGCCCCAGAUUUCUUCAAAGUAUUGGAACAAAAACUUUGCAAAUCACUUUUAAUUUGAUUAUUUUGUGGAUCUCUUACAAUAGCAGCAUUUAAGAGAGCUGCAGUGCGCAGAGCAUUUAGCUUUUUAUUUUUAUUUUUUCUUUCAUAAAUCUUAGCAAGCUUAUGAAAUAU